GCGGCACGCCUAACACAUGCAAGUCGAACGGAGUUUUGAGAGCUUGCUCUUAAAACUUAGUGGCGGACGGGUGAGUAACACGUGAGCAACCUGCCUUUAAGAGGGGGAUAGCUUCUGGAAACGGAUGGUAAUACCCCAUAACAUAUCGGGAUGGCAUCUUCCUGAUAUCAAAGAUUUAUCGCUUAGAGAUGGGCUCGCGUCUGAUUAGCUUGUUGGUGAGGUAACGGCCCACCAAGGCAACGAUCAGUAGCCGGACUGAGAGGUUGAACGGCCACAUUGGGACUGAGACACGGCCCAGACUCCUACGGGAGGCAGCAGUGGGGAAUAUUGCACAAUGGGCGCAAGCCUGAUGCAGCGAUGCCGCGUGAGGGAAGAAGGUUUUCGGAUUGUAAACCUCUGUCAUCGGGGACGAUAAUGACUGUACCCGAGAAGGAAGCUCCGGCUAACUACGUGCCAGCAGCCGCGGUAAUACGUAGGGAGCGAGCGUUAUCCGGAAUUACUGGGUGUAAAGGGAGUGUAGGCGGGACUGUAAGUCAGAUGUGAAAUAUGCCGGCUCAACUGGCAGACUGCAUUUGAAACUGCGGUUCUUGAGUGAAGUAGAGGUAAGCGGAAUUCCUAGUGUAGCGGUGAAAUGCGUAGAUAUUAGGAGGAACACCAGUGGCGAAGGCGACUUUCUGGACUGUAACUGACACUGAGGUACGAAAGCGUGGGGAGCAAACAGGAUUAGAUACCCUGGUAGUCCACGCCGUAAACGAUGAGCACUUGUUGUUGGGAGCGAGAGCUUUCGGUGACGCAGUUAACGCAAUAAGUGCUCCGCCUGGGGAGUACGCACGCAAGUGUAAAACUCAAAGGAAUUGACGGGGACCCGCACAAGCAGCGGAGCGUGUGGUUUAAUUCGACGCAACGCGAAGAACCUUACCAGGACUUGACAUCCCUCUGAAACUCUGGGUAAAACCGGAGCCUCCUUCGGGACAGAGGUGACAGGUGGUGCAUGGUUGUCGUCAGCUCGUGUCGUGAGAUGUUGGGUUAAGUCCCGCAACGAGCGCAACCCUUGCCUUUAGUUGCCAUCAUUCAGUUGGGCACUCUAGAGGGACUGCCGGGGAUAACUCGGAGGAAGGUGGGGAUGACGUCAAAUCAUCAUGCCCCUUAUGUUCUGGGCUACACACGUGCUACAAUGGUUGGUACAGAGAGAAGCAAAGUCGUGAGGUGGAGCAAAACUCUAAAACCAAUCUCAGUUCGGACUGUAGGCUGCAACCCGCCUACACGAAGUCGGAGUUGCUAGUAGUCGCGAAUCAGAAUGUCGCGGUGAAUGCGUUCCCGGG
This 1322-nucleotide ribosomal RNA is filed under the name uncultured bacterium. Its description in RNAcentral is "bacterial SSU rRNA". It matches the Rfam family "Bacterial small subunit ribosomal RNA", at positions 39 to 1378 of the family's 1533-position model. The record is from RNAcentral.